Molecule: transfer RNA, 97 nt
Filed under: Ephemerocybe angulata
Lineage: Eukaryota; Fungi; Basidiomycota; Agaricomycetes; Agaricales; Psathyrellaceae
Description: Coprinellus angulatus tRNA
Rfam family: tRNA
About the family: Transfer RNA (tRNA) molecules are approximately 80 nucleotides in length. Their secondary structure includes four short double-helical elements and three loops (D, anti-codon, and T loops). Further hydrogen bonds mediate the characteristic L-shaped molecular structure. tRNAs have two regions of fundamental functional importance: the anti-codon, which is responsible for specific mRNA codon recognition, and the 3' end, to which the tRNAs corresponding amino acid is attached (by aminoacyl-tRNA synthetases). tRNAs cope with the degeneracy of the genetic code in two manners: having more than one tRNA (with a specific anti-codon) for a particular amino acid; and 'wobble' base-pairing, i.e. permitting non-standard base-pairing at the 3rd anti-codon position.
Source: Rfam by way of RNAcentral
GGCAACAUGGCCGAGUGGUCUAAGGCGCUGGAAUUAGGUUUCUACAUACUCUUAAAUCCAGUCCGAAAGGGCGCGAGUUCGAACCUCGCUGUUGUCA